Molecule: ribosomal RNA, 253 nt
Filed under: uncultured bacterium
Lineage: Bacteria
Description: partial 16S ribosomal RNA
Rfam family: Bacterial small subunit ribosomal RNA
Source: RNAcentral
UACGUAGGUGGCAAGCGUUGUUCGGAAUAACUGGGCGUAAAGGAUGCGUGGGCGGUUAAACAAGUUAUAUGUUAAAUAUAUAGGCUUAACCUGUAGAAAGCAUAUAAAACUGUUUAACUAGAGUGCAGGAGAGGUAAGUGGAAUUCCUAGUGUAGCGGUGAAAUGCGUAGAGAUUAGGAAGAACACCAGUGGCGAAGGCGACUUACUGGACUGUAACUGACGCUGAGGCAUGAGAGCAUGGGGAGCAAACAGG